Molecule: long non-coding RNA, 3093 nt
Organism: Trichechus manatus latirostris (Florida manatee)
Lineage: Eukaryota; Metazoa; Chordata; Mammalia; Sirenia; Trichechidae
Exons: 2
Source: RefSeq, a predicted model, not a curated record
CAUGGAACAAUUUUGUAAAAAUGGUUAAAUGAGAACCUAAUUUGCUAUGUAACUUUCGCCUGAAACAAUAAAAUAUUUUUUUAAAAGUUAUAGACUUAUGGAUGUUCUUGUCAUUUGUUAUCAACAUGUAGGCAUUUUGCUAUACUUUCAGUAACUUUGACUUUCAUAAUUAAAUGAAAUUUUUUCUCAGUGUGAAGGAAUUUCUGGCAUCUGGCUAAACACUUGGAAUAAAAAGAAUACGGAUUAAUUAACAGACUAUUAUUUAAACUGUGGAAGUGGAGUUUCUAAAUUCCUCCAUUGCACUAGUGCUCGAUUGUCGUAUUUUUCUCUGUAGAGCAGAAUUCAGUGGAUACCAGAUAAAACUUUCACUUUUCCCGGGAUAAUCUAAUCAAGUAUCAAAGAGGAUUGUUAAUAAAGUGAUUUCACCUUAUGACUGAUUCUGAAGGAGGUGUGGUGCCUUAUCAAACUAUGUUUUCCCUCCCUUCCUGGGAGCUAUAAACAGUUUGCACUGAAAGGUUGGUGGUUUGAACCCACCUAGUGGUGACACAAAAGAAAGGCCUGGCAACAACUACAGCCAAGAAGACCCUAUGGAGUUCUAUUCUCACACACAUGGGGUCGCCUUGAGUUGGAAUCCACUUGAUGGCAGCGGGCUUGGGUUUUUUUGCGUGUGUAGAUUCACUGAUAGAGCAGAUCACUUUACAGAUGUGAGUAUAGUGGGUCCCCAGGGGUGAGGACCCCUGGAAUUUUAUAAGUCCUGAGUUACAGCUUCUAAGGCCAACCUAAGACUGAAGGGGCAGAAAGUUUCUUCAUUCAGGUGUCAGGCCAGAGUAGUGAGAAAUAUUUUCAGAGGAGGCCAGUCAGUGAAGCAAAUGGCUGUUUUUGAGAACCUGGUAGGUGAUAAGAGAUUGUACAGCUGUGCCCGAGCAGUAGGUGUCACUGUAGUCAGUGGCUUUUACUAAGAGCCUAAGGGGUUAAUUGGGUCUGGUUCAGAAGGGCAGGUAGAGGUCCAUCUUAGCCCUCCAGGGUCUGUGUCUUUGUCUCUAGGACACCAGUUGACUCGAAUGAAAUGCCCAAGUCAGUACCUAAAGACACUAUCUUUCUCUAAGAAGGGAAGGAAGAUACUUUGCCAUCUAUUGUAGAGUGUUAGGCUAUGCUGUGGGAGAGGGGUGGAUUGGGGUGGGUAAAUCGGUAAAAUAAUCCUUCUAAAGUUUGGUGGGGGACCUAGGACAGAGGGGAAGGAAAAAUUCUAUUAAGAGAAAUGAAAGAAUAUGGAAUAGCAGAAUACAUUUCCUUGUUGUAUUUUAGCCCUGAGCCCUGUUAUAUUCAGGCAGUGUGAGCUUUCAGAGCGUCUAUCAGCAUCCUUCUUAGAAUUUCCCUUUUUACAACAAAGGAAGCAAAGAAGAAAUCUUUCUAGCAGAGAUGUACUUCUCUUUUGCUGCUUACCAUUCCAGAAAGUUAAUUUUCAAACGUUAAAAUAGAAUUUGGGAUUUAGAAAUAGCUACUGUGUUGACUAAUUAAAAGAAAAAAAUCCUGUGAUUACGUAGCAAAUUGCUUUUUCAAGUACAUCCAAUUUUACUUUUUCUUUUCUAGCAACACCCUGGUGUGAAAACAAAAUAAAGCCUAGUAAACUCGCUGUAGAGUUUUAUAUUCAUCUUAUCUCUCUCUCUCUCUCUCUUUUUUUCUUUUGGCCAGGAUAACCAUCUCUCUCUCCACCCACCACCCAUGUAACACAGUAUGACUCGUCUUUAAAAAAAAAAAACAAAACAUGAAGACAGUAUAUACAUCUGACCUAUCCACAGAUACUCAUUAAAAAGAAGUCUCGUCCAGUCUUUGCGCUUACCCCCUCUACCCUGCCUGUUGGUUGCUGUUAACACCCUGAUUAAGCCUUGUUCUUAUUGGUACAAUAUGUUAAGCUCAGACUGCUCUUUCUCUCUCUCUCUCUCGCCUUCUGUCUCCGAGUGGCUGGGCUGAAACCAUCCGCACGCUCGCUGAGCCAGGUGGCGUUGCUUCCUGCCUCUCCUGCUCGCUGUUGCUAAGUGAGAGGCGCCGUAUCGCACAGAAGGCUGAACCAAUAGCAUCCUGACUCCCAUAGGCUGGUAAAAGCUGAAGAAAGAGAAUCUCAGUGUUGUCUGCGGCCGGCCGGUGGGUCCUCCUCCCUCUCCCUCCCCCCUCCCACCUUUUCUUUUCCAACAGGAAGGGGAGGAGGUGAGGGAGACGGUAGGAGGAAGAGGGAAGAAAGAGAAUGGGGGAGGUGAAUCCUAAUAUGCCUUGCUGUUCUUGAGAUAAAUGCCAUUUUUUUCUUUGUGAUGAAAAGAAAUGGUCGCCUCUCUUGUGCAAUCACAGACCAGCAGAUGCGCUUCUUUCUGCCCCCAAUCCGCCUGUGUUGUCAAAGCUCAGACUGAAUAAAUACGACGUCUGUUGGCCCGCGUAUCUGCUCUGCGUUUCUCUGUCUUGAUGUGGCUAUGAAUCUUUUAAUCCCCACAGUUCUGCAGAUUUUGGCACUCCUGUACCCCUGUUCAUUCUUCCUCUUCACCUCCCCUGUUUUGUUUGUUUGUUUGUUUGUUUUUACUGCCUCACAGUAUUCUCUUCCUAUUCCAGAUUGGAUUUCCUUUGAAUGCAAAAAUUAGCAAACUGUAUUUUAUAUAUCAUCCUGUGAGGGAGUCAUAAGGGUAUCCUAGUGAAGGGGGCAAGAGAGGAAGAAUACUUAUAAAGAAUUAAAAGGUUUUCAUAAAGGGAAGUAUGUGGAAUCACAUUAACCAAAAGGAGAUUACCAGUGAAAACCCUUACCAAAUUCUGGGUAACUAGAAUGUUUUUCUUUUGUUUUAUGAGCUGUCUUUUUCUUAUCACCAUAAAGAAAAAGACAGUCAAUGCUGCCAGCUCUAACUUAAUAACAUUUAAAACUAAAAUUCAUAGAUAAUCUCCAAACUUCAUUGUACUUACUUUCAGUCUCUUCCAGAUUGAACUAGAACUAGUUAUAGGUGGCUGAAUACUCAGAUCUGAGCAAUACUUUCAUCCUCUCUGUGCCCGUUUUCUAGGGGAGGUGUUAAUGACGAAGUAAAGCUCCAAAAAUGGACAAAGAAAUUAAAAAAAAAA